GAUUUCAGUUUGAACAAACAUAGCAUAAUUGAACAUUUUUUUUUUAUUUAUUUAGAAAUGAAAAUUCGAUUUCAAUUCAAAAUUAAAUUGAUCAAUUUUGAUUCAAUUCAAAUAUGAUUUUAAUUUAUUCAAUUUUUAUUCAUUUCGAUUUGAUUUCAAUUCAAAAUUAAAGUCAUCUAGUUUCGAGCCAAUUUUAAUUCUGAACAUUGGGACUAUAUAAAGAUUCCAUACUCAUGAAACUUUUCACAAAUGUCUUUCACCAACCCAUCUUGAACAUACAACACAAUUCAAUUAAACCAUUAUAUCAAAA
RNAcentral lists this unclassified non-coding RNA (310 nucleotides) under Hevea brasiliensis (rubber tree). The record is from RNAcentral. Lineage: Eukaryota; Viridiplantae; Streptophyta; Magnoliopsida; Malpighiales; Euphorbiaceae.